RNAcentral lists this unclassified non-coding RNA (244 nucleotides) under Hevea brasiliensis (rubber tree). The record is from RNAcentral. Lineage: Eukaryota; Viridiplantae; Streptophyta; Magnoliopsida; Malpighiales; Euphorbiaceae.
AGUUCCACUGCUUGAGUUUGUCUCCACAAAUGUUGUAAAAUAAGAUCACCAAGGACGUAUUUACAAAUUUGGUGUUUCCAUUAAUAUGAGUGUGUGUUGUGCUGCUAUAAUUUAAUGAGUCAAAUGUCCUUCACAAGGAAUUUUUUUUAUUGAAUAUCUAAAACAGGAAAAAAUAAAAAUCAUGCACCAUAGUGUUAGAAGAAAGCCAAGUACAAAGUCCAUUGACAAAUCUUCUCAAAUAUUU